This 117-nucleotide small RNA is filed under the name Marmota monax (woodchuck). Lineage: Eukaryota; Metazoa; Chordata; Mammalia; Rodentia; Sciuridae. The record is from RNAcentral.
GCCCGGCACAGUGGCGCACACCUGCAGUCCCCGCUACUCAGGAGGCUGAGGCAGGAGGAUCCCUGGAGGCCAGGAGUUCAAGGCCAGCCCAGGCAACAUAGGGAGACCCCGUCUCAG